AGAGUUUGAUCAUGGCUCAGAUUGAACGCUGGCGGUAUGCUUAAGACAUGCAAGUCGUGCGGUAGAAGGCUUCGGCCUUUGAGAGCGGCGGACGGGUGAGUAACACGUGGGAAUCUGCCUAUUAGUGGGGGACAGCCCAGCGAAAGCUGGAUUAAUACCGCAUACGCCCUACGGGGGAAAGCAGCAAUGCGCUAAUAGAUGAGCCCGCGUAAGAUUAGCUAGUUGGUAAGGUAAAGGCUUACCAAGGCGACGAUCUUUAGCUGGUCUGAGAGGAUGGCCAGCCACAUCGGGACUGAGACACGGCCCGGACUCCUACGGGAGGCAGCAGUCGGGAAUAUUGGACAAUGGGCGCAAGCCUGAUCCAGCAAUACCGCGUGUGUGAAGAAGGCCUGCGGGUUGUAAAGCACUUUCAGUUGGGAAGAUAAUGACGUUACCAACAGAAGAAGCACCGGCUAACUCCGUGCCAGCAGCCGCGGUAAUACGGAGGGUGCAAGCGUUAAUCGGAAUUACUGGGCGUAAAGCGUGCGUAGGCGGCCUGUUAAGUCAGAUGUGAAAGCCCCGGGCUUAACCUGGGAACUGCAUCUGAUACUGGGAGGCUAGAAUGUGGGAGAGGAAGAUGGAAUUAGUUGUGUAGGGGUAAAAUCCGUAGAGAUAACUAGGAAUACCAAAAGCGAAGGCAAUCUUCUGGAACACUACUGACGCUGAGGCGCGAAAGCGUGGGGAGCAAACAGGAUUAGAUACCCUGGUAGUCCACGCCCUAAACGAUGAAUGUUAGUCGUCGGACAGCUUGUCUGUUCGGUGAUGCAGCUAACGCAUUAAACAUUCCGCCUGGGGAGUACGGUCGCAAGAUUAAAACUCAAAGGAAUAGACGGGGACCCGCACAAGUGGUGGAGCAUGUGGUUUAAUUCGAAGAUACGCGAAGAACCUUACCUAGCCUUGACAUAUAUUAGAACUCCGCAGAGAUGCAGAGGUGCCUUCGGGAGCUUUUAUACAGGUGCUGCACGGCUGUCGUCAGCUCGUGUCGUGAGAUGUUGGGUUAAGUCCCGCAACGAGCGCAACCCUCGUCACUAGUUACUAACGGUUCGGCCGAGGACUCUAGUGAGACUGCCUUCGUAAGGAGGAGGAAGGUGAGGACGACGUCAAGUCAUCAUGGCCCUUACGGCUAGGGCAACACACGUGCUACAAUGGCCAGGACAAUGAGACGCAAUACCGCGAGGUGGAGCAAAUCUAUAAACCUGGUCUCAGUUCGGAUUGUAGUCUGCAACUCGACUACAUGAAGCUGGAAUCACUAGUAAUCGUAGAUCAGCUAUGCUACGGUGAAUACGUUCCCGGGUCUUGUACUCACCGCCCGUCACACCAUGGGAGUUGAUUUCACCCGAAGCGGGGAAGCUAAACUGGCUACCCUCCACGGUGGAAUUAGCGACUGGGGUGAAGUCGUAACAAGGUAACCAAGGGCGAA
Molecule: ribosomal RNA, 1459 nt
Filed under: uncultured Campylobacterota bacterium
Lineage: Bacteria; Pseudomonadati; Campylobacterota
Description: bacterial SSU rRNA
Rfam family: Bacterial small subunit ribosomal RNA
Source: RNAcentral